ACUCAAAUGAAUUGACGGGGGCCCGCACAAGCGGUGGAGUAUGUGGUUUAAUUCGAGGCAACGCGAAGAACCUUACCUGGGCUUGACAUGUUUGAGACCGCCGGUGAAAGCCGGCUUUCCCUUCGGGGACUCUUGCACAGGUGCUGCAUGGCUGUCGUCAGCUCGUGCCGUGAGGUGUUGGGUUAAGUCCCGCAACGAGCGCAACCCUUGUCCAUAGUUGCCAUCAGGUAACGCUGGGGACUCUAUGGAGACUGCCGGUGAUAAGCUGGAGGAAGGUGGGGACGACGUCAAGUCAUCAUGGCCCUUAUGUCCAGGGCUACACACGUACUACAAUGGCCGGUACAGAAGGAUGCAAGAUCGCGAGAUGGAGCCAACCCUUAAAACCGGCCUCAGUUCAGAUUGAAGUCUGCAACUCGACUUCAUGAAGGUGGAAUCGCUAGUAAUCGCGAAUCAGCAGGUCGCGGUGAAUACGUUCCCGGGCCUUGUACACACCGCCCGU
Molecule: ribosomal RNA, 499 nt
Filed under: uncultured bacterium
Lineage: Bacteria
Description: partial 16S ribosomal RNA
Rfam family: Bacterial small subunit ribosomal RNA
Source: RNAcentral